Molecule: long non-coding RNA, 399 nt
Organism: Lathyrus oleraceus (garden pea)
Lineage: Eukaryota; Viridiplantae; Streptophyta; Magnoliopsida; Fabales; Fabaceae
Exons: 3
Source: RefSeq, a predicted model, not a curated record
UUAAAGCCAAAUUACCAAGAUUAACAUGGAUUGGAGUUGAUAAAACUUCGAGAAUUUCAGCAACGAUUCGUACUUCUUCUAAGGUUCUCCUACUAAAUUUUCAGCUUUCCAAAGUUCUCCUACAUACAGUUUUCAAAGCGCAUGAAUCGAUUCAAUUUAGGCAGGAGUAUGAAAUGCGUAAAAUGAAACUGGGAUCAAGGUUUGGAUGUGAUUGCAGGAGGAUUGGAUACUUUGAAAAACAUGGCACAUGAUAUGAACGAGGUUUUGAUUGAGGACAGCAUAAAAGUCCGUCUCGCUAUUAUUUUCGACGGCUUUUCUCUUCAGAGGAUUAUUGAACAAUCCCUCAGUUGCAGAUGAUAAGAACUGUGCUCCUAUUAUGUCUAAGUUGUUUUCUUCAUA